UCAAGCUAAAAAGAGCGCAAGGGGAAUGCCUUGGCAUCAGGAGCCGAAGAAGGACGUGACAAGCUGCGAUAAGCUGCGGUGAGGAGCAAAUAUCCUUUGACCCGCAGAUCUCCGAAUGGGGCAACCCGGCUGGACAAUAUCCAGUCAUCCUGCAUUGAAUCAAAUAGGUGUAGGAAGGGAACCGUCUGAACUGAAACAUCUAAGUAGGACGAGGAAGAGACAUCAACCGAGAUUCCGCAAGUAGUGGCGAGCGAACGCGGAAGAGGCCAAACCGGAGGAUUAAUUCUCCGGGGUUGCGGACAGUCAUUUAGCAGAAGAUAUCUAACCGAAGGGUCUGGGAAGGCCCACCACAGAGGGUGAGAGUCCCGUAGGUGAAAGAGAAGGCUGUGAGACUGGAUCCAGAGUACCGCAGGACACGUGAAACCCUGUGGGAAACAGGGGGGACCACCCUCCAAGCCUAAAUACUACCUGAUGACCGAUAGAGGAGCAGUACCGUGAGGGAAAGGUGAAAAGGACCCCGGGAGGGGAGUGAAAGAGAACCUGAAACCUUGUGCUUACAAGCAGUCAGAGCACGUUAACGUGUGAUGGCGUACUUUUUGUAGAACGGUCCGGCGAGUUAUAGUAACGAGCAAGCUUAAGGUAUUCAGUACCGGAGGCGAAGCGAAAGCGAGUCUGAAAAGGGCGCAUGAAGUUCGUUGCCAUAGACCCGAAACCGGGUGACCUACGCAUGAGCAGGUUGAAGUGGGGGUGAAACCCCAUGGAGGACCGAACCAACCCCCGUUGCAAUGGUGGUGGAUGACUUGUGCGUAGCGGUGAAAUUCCAAUCGAACUCGGAGAUAGCUGGUUCUCCCCGAAAUAGCUUUAGGGCUAGCGUUAGUUUAGAUUACCGGAGGUAAAGCACUGAAUGGUUUAGGGGCUGAUAAAGUUACCGACGCCUAUCAAACUCUGAAUGCCGGAUAAUUGAUGACUAGCAGUCAGACAGUGUGAGAUAAGUUUCAUUGUCAAAAGGGAAACAGCCCAGACCUACAGCUAAGGUCCCAAAUGUAUGCUAAGUGGAAAACGAUGUGGAAUUGCGAAAACAACCAGGAUGUUGGCUUAGAAGCAGCCACACAUUAAAAGAGUGCGUAAUAGCUCACUGGUCGAGUGACUCUGCGCGGAAAAUGUAACGGGGCUAAGCAUGCAACCGAAGCUUAGGAUUGUCUAAAGACAGUGGUAGGGGAGCGUUCUGUAUGGGGUGAAGUCGCAGCGAGAGCAGCGGUGGACUGUACAGAAGUGAGAAUGCCGGAAUGAGUAGCGAGAAUUAUGUGGGAAUCAUAAUGGCCGAAAAUCUAAGGUUUCUUGGGGAAGGUUCGUCCGCCCAAGGUAAGUCGGGAGCUAAGCUCAGGCCGAGAGGCGUAGGCGAUGCACAUACGGUAGAAAUUCCGUAACCACCGAAACUUAAACAGAGGGACACUUCGAAAUAGCGGAACCCGGGCGUUGGUUGACCCGGGCGUAAGGGAGCGAAAUUAGAGUAGCGAAGUCCGCGAUGUUCGGAGGCGAGAAAAGCUCUGAGGUAUGCUAAGGUGCCCGUACCGCAAACCGACACAGGUAGAUGAGGAGAGAAUCCUAAGGCCAACGGGAGAAGGGUUGUUAAGGAACUCGGCAAAUUGGUCCCGUAACUUCGGGAGAAGGGACGCCCUCGAAAGAGGGUCGCAGUGAAUAGGCCCAAGCAACUGUUUACCAAAAACACAGGUCUCUGCUAAAUCGAAAGAUGACGUAUAGGGGCUGACGCCUGCCCGGUGCCGGAAGGUUAAGAGGAGGGCUUAGUGGCAACACGAAGGCUUGAAUUUAAGCCCCGGUAAACGGCGGCCGUAACUAUAACGGUCCUAAGGUAGCGAAAUUCCUUGUCAGGUAAGUUCUGACCCGCACGAAAGGCGUAAUGAUUUGGGCACUGUCUCAACAGCCCGCCCGGCGAAAUUGUAGUACCGGUGAAGAUGCCGGUUACC
RNAcentral lists this ribosomal RNA (1985 nucleotides) under human gut metagenome. Its description in RNAcentral is "bacterial LSU rRNA". It matches the Rfam family "Bacterial large subunit ribosomal RNA", at positions 3 to 2070 of the family's 2925-position model. The record is from RNAcentral.